RNAcentral lists this ribosomal RNA (696 nucleotides) under Escherichia coli. RNAcentral describes it as "partial 23S ribosomal RNA". It matches the Rfam family "Bacterial large subunit ribosomal RNA", at positions 165 to 900 of the family's 2925-position model. Lineage: Bacteria; Pseudomonadati; Pseudomonadota; Gammaproteobacteria; Enterobacterales; Enterobacteriaceae. The record is from RNAcentral.
CAUAGGUUAAUGAGGCGAACCGGGGGAACUGAAACAUCUAAGUACCCCGAGGAAAAGAAAUCAACCGAGAUUCCCCCAGUAGCGGCGAGCGAACGGGGAGCAGCCCAGAGCCUGAAUCAGUGUGUGUGUUAGUGGAAGCGUCUGGAAAGGCGCGCGAUACAGGGUGACAGCCCCGUACACAAAAAUGCACAUGCUGUGAGCUCGAUGAGUAGGGCGGGACACGUGGUAUCCUGUCUGAAUAUGGGGGGACCAUCCUCCAAGGCUAAAUACUCCUGACUGACCGAUAGUGAACCAGUACCGUGAGGGAAAGGCGAAAAGAACCCCGGCGAGGGGAGUGAAAAAGAACCUGAAACCGUGUACGUACAAGCAGUGGGAGCACAGAGCAAUCUGUGUGACUGCGUACCUUUUGUAUAAUGGGUCAGCGACUUAUAUUCUGUAGCAAGGUUAACCGAAUAGGGGAGCCGAAGGGAAACCGAGUCUUAACUGGGCGUUAAGUUGCAGGGUAUAGACCCGAAACCCGGUGAUCUAGCCAUGGGCAGGUUGAAGGUUGGGUAACACUAACUGGAGGACCGAACCGACUAAUGUUGAAAAAUUAGCGGAUGACUUGUGGCUGGGGGUGAAAGGCCAAUCAAACCGGGAGAUAGCUGGUUCUCCCCGAAAGCUAUUUAGGUAGCGCCUCGUGAAUUCAUCUCCGGG